Molecule: microRNA precursor, 103 nt
Filed under: Marmota monax (woodchuck)
Lineage: Eukaryota; Metazoa; Chordata; Mammalia; Rodentia; Sciuridae
Source: RNAcentral
AGUGGGAUAGUUGGGUCAAAUGGUAGUUCCAUUCCAAGUUUUCUGAGGAAUCUCUAUAGUGCUUUCCAUAGUGGUUGUACCAAUUUGCUGUCCCAUCAGCGAU